AGAUAAAAAAAGCCCGGAACCAAUCCAGAUUGUUCCGGGCAUAGGGGAAUGGCUCAAUGGAUGAGCCGUGCGCUAACUCGGUGACUGUUUAAGAGGUUAAAGCUGAGCCAGAUUGGCGGUAUCGAACGUUGUCAAAAAACCAUUCAGCGACUGCUUAACUUUUAAACAAUGAGUAACUUUUUAGUCUAGCCAAAAAAAACCUGAUUGCUAAUUU
This 214-nucleotide small RNA is filed under the name Idiomarina xiamenensis 10-D-4. The record is from RNAcentral. Lineage: Bacteria; Pseudomonadati; Pseudomonadota; Gammaproteobacteria; Alteromonadales; Idiomarinaceae.